This 73-nucleotide transfer RNA is filed under the name Thermoleophilaceae bacterium. RNAcentral's name for it is "tRNA-Gln". It matches the Rfam family "tRNA". Rfam says of the family: Transfer RNA (tRNA) molecules are approximately 80 nucleotides in length. The record is from RNAcentral. Lineage: Bacteria; Bacillati; Actinomycetota; Thermoleophilia; Thermoleophilales; Thermoleophilaceae.
UGGCGGGUCGUCUAAUUGGCUAGGACACCAGGUUUUGAUCCUGGGAAUUGGGGUUCGAUUCCCUGCCCGCCAG